Molecule: long non-coding RNA, 2666 nt
Organism: Poecile atricapillus (Black-capped chickadee)
Lineage: Eukaryota; Metazoa; Chordata; Aves; Passeriformes; Paridae
Exons: 2
Source: RefSeq, a predicted model, not a curated record
GAAAAAAAAGCAAUCUGCUCACACAUUACAACACUCAAAGAAUGUGAUGUCCCAGAAACAAGGGUCUCCAGUCCAUUAGUUAUUAACUGCUGGAAUGCAGGAACAACUCUGACAGAAAGGUAGGCAAGAUUGCCAACUUCACCAUAGAGAGAAGCAGAGGUUAAUUUGUUUAAAUAUAAUCCUGCCUCUGAACACUGACACAGUUUCAACUGCUGCCAUUUCAAGGCCUCCAUGCAAGGUCUGUAAAGGAAAUCAUGCUGCUUUCCACUGCAAUUGCUAGUCAGAAUGAACUAGAGCUGGCUUCUUACCAGCAUUAACAGUACCAAGUCUGCUGCUUAAGAUUAAAUUAGAAAUUCGGCUUCUUUGUAUCUCCUGCCUGGCAACAGUGUCCAAACAUUAAUCACACACACACAAAAAAACGUGUGAGAAACGAACGAGUGUAUGAGCACCACCCAGAAAGUACCAGACAGAUUCAGGGGCAUAGGAAAUGGCAAGCUGCCUAAUUAAUGCUAUCUAGAGCUAAACUUUUUCUUUCUUUAAUAGGUUAACUCGAUCUUGGCUCAGACAGAAAGACCAAGAUACUUGCUGGUUUUAUGCCAGGAAUGCUGACCCUUGUUUAUGGUCUUGAUUACUUGUCCAGCUUCAAAUGCCACAAGAAAACUGCAGUUUAUUCUGACAUAAAACCAGAAAAACGCUGACUUGGUCAAAAUAACAGUCGGGUGAAAAAUGACUGAGCACCUCGCACAUAAAAAGGGCUGGAAUUUUAAAAGGGGAUAUGGCGUGACAAAGUGAGAGGGAACAGCCUAUGUGUGACGGUCUGAAGCGUUAAUGGAGGCACGGAGGAGGGCUCUUAAGUUCCUAUUGUCCUACACAAGCGCCGAUGCUCCACUUCCUGCAGCGCAAAUACCGAAAAUUAGAAAAUUCAUAAACAAAACAAAACAAACAAACAAAGAAAAAAAUCUCCCAGCCGUGAAGACGUGGAAAUAAAUGCACCUUCAGCACGCAAUGUUACUCAGCAUAGGUCAGGAAAUAUGCCGAAAGAGCGAGGACAACGUGUCGGCGUGGGGGUGGUAUUUUAUACUGUUGGGUGGCGUUUCGGGUUUUUUCAGUAAAUACGAUUUAUUAAUUUUUGUUUGAUUUUGUUCCGGGGUGGGUGUGUGUGUGUGUGUGUGGGAGAGGGGGAAGCGCUGAUCUCGGCGGUGGCUGCGCUGCUCUCCGCCCGGCUCCCCCCCUUCCUGCCAGCUCAGCAGUCCCGCCACGCCGCGGUAAACAAGUGCUGAGCUGUCAAUCAGCGCGGGCUGGAGCAGGAGCCGACCGGCCUGAACCGGCGCGCACGGAGCGCCGCCAGCCCCGCCGCUCUCUCGCACGCCGCGUGCGCUGCGCCCGCCGGCUGCGCACCGAGGGCGGACCCUCCCGUCGCCCGCGCCGCGCCGCCGCAGGGGAUGGGACCGGCGACGUGAGAGGGACGUGACCGAGAGCAGCACGUCCUCUCGCCCGCGCCCUCCCUUUCCGAGGGGCUUCGUGCCGCGCCAGCGCCUCAGGGAGCGGCCCCGGCCCGCCGGGGGCAGGCAGCGAAACCUGCGCCCUCACCCCCGCCGCCAGCGCCCCGCCAAUCAGUGGCGGGCAUCGCCUUAGCAACAGGGCAACAAAACCGCGGCCGGCCAAUCAGAGGGCGGCGGGGGGCGCGGCCGGGCCGCGGGUCUGCGCCCGGGGCGGUCAUUGAAAUGCGGCCGCGGGCGCCCGCAGUAGCGUCCCGGGACCCCUGUCCCAGCCGCUCCCACGAGUGCUCCCCCGCCACGGGCGGCUCCUGCGCAGGCUGCACACUCCCGUCGCCACGCUCAUGGAACCCGCGGCCCGGAGGUGCGGGAAGUUAGACGAGUGUUAUCCGAGGCGGAGUGGACACAGUCAUCGCCACCACCUGACGCGUGCGGCCAAUCUGCGCGAAGCGGGCGGCGCACCCCCCUCCUCCAAGCCGGUCCCAAACAGGAUUGAACCGCUUCGAACAAAGGCUGCGAAGUUCGGGGGAAAAAAGAAAUAAAAAAACCACACAGAAGCCCCAAGGCCCGGCGCUUCCACCCGCCCCCGAGGAAGGGGUCUGCACUUCGCGGGGACACCACGGUGGCAAGAGUGGGAAGUGGGGAGCAGGAGGUUCGCAUCUCCCCAGUUUUGGGAGAGAUGCUCCUAUUACGCAACACCACUUCCCCCCUCUCUCUCCUCCCCCUCCUUUUACCCCCAUCAAGGGCUUUUCGGACACAUCUUUACAUCGGGGUGACCCCAUUGCCGAGCGGAGUGUAGGGGAGGCCCAAGGAACUUACAGCUUUUUAACUGGGCGAGGGUAAUACUGAAAUGAGAAAAAAAAUUUACACGUGGGGUGGUGAUAUGUCAAAAUAAGCAAAUGAGACUCUUUCAUCUGCCAAUAAUCAGACAUCCAGAAAAAUUAAUUGUAUUAUCACCCCAAUGGCAUCAGCAGAACCCCGCAUGUGUCCAAAGUAUGGUUUUUAUGCUUUCACUGUGUUUCAAGAUUUGUUAUUAGGAUUUUUGCCAAUGAAGUCCACUACCCAUUUGUCUGUGAUUUUACAGCUGUUUUUCUCCACGGAACGGCAAAUCCUACCAACAUUACUACCAGGAAAAAAAAAAAAAAAAAAAGAAAAAAAAAAAGAGGUAAA